GCGUCUUAAGCAUGCAAGUCAAACGGAAUGUAGCAAUACAUUUAGUGGCGAACGGGUGAGUAACGCGUGGAUGAUCUACCUAUGAGAUGGGGAUAACUACUAGAAAUAGUAGCUAAUACCGAAUAAGGUCAAUUAAUUUGUUAAUUGAUGAAAGGAAGCCUUUAAAGCUUCGCUUGUAGAUGAGUCUGCGUCUUAUUAGUUAGUUGGUGGGGUAAAUGCCUACCAAGACGAUGAUAAGUAACCGGCCUGAGAGGGUGAACGGUCACACUGGAACUGAGAUACGGUCCAGACUCCUACGGGAGGCAGCAGCUAAGAAUCUUCCGCAAUGGGCGAAAGCCUGACGGAGCGACACUGCGUGAAUGAAGAAGGUCGAAAGAUUGUAAAAUUCUUUUAUAAAUGAGGAAUAAGCUUUGUAGGAAAUGACAAAGCGAUGACGUUAAUUUAUGAAUAAGCCCCGGCUAAUUACGUGCCAGCAGCCGCGGUAAUACGUAAGGGGCGAGCGUUGUUCGGGAUUAUUGGGCGUAAAGGGUGAGUAGGCGGAUAUAUAAGUCUAUGCAUAAAAUACCACAGCUCAACUGUGGAGCUAUGUUGGAAACUAUAUGUCUAGAGUCUGAUAGAGGAAGUUAGAAUUCCUGGUGUAAGGGUGGAAUCUGUUGAUAUCAGGAAGAAUACCGGAGGCGAAGGCGAACUUCUGGGUCAAGACUGACGCUGAGUCACGAAAGCGUAGGGAGCAAACAGGAUUAGAUACCCUGGUAGUCUACGCUGUAAACGAUGCACACUUGGUGUUAACUAAAAGUUAGUACCGAAGCUAACGUG
This 816-nucleotide ribosomal RNA is filed under the name Borreliella afzelii. Its description in RNAcentral is "bacterial SSU rRNA". It matches the Rfam family "Bacterial small subunit ribosomal RNA", at positions 44 to 859 of the family's 1533-position model. Lineage: Bacteria; Pseudomonadati; Spirochaetota; Spirochaetia; Spirochaetales; Borreliaceae. The record is from RNAcentral.